UAAGGGGCGGGUUCCGCCUGGGCCCCGCCUCCCUCCGCUGCCACUGCCAGCUGCUGCUGGCUCCGCUCUACUUCCGAUUCUGUCCGCCCGGCGCGCGUGGGUCACUCCGCUGUAAGGAGAAAUAGGAAUAGGAAAGUGGAAUCCAGUACUAAGGAAGAAAUUCUCCUUUGACUCAGGAUUCCAUAGUGGGAUGAUGAAGUUCUUCCUCUGAUGAUGAAGAUGAAGGUCCAAGAGGUUAGAUACCUUGCCCAAGAGCCAAAGCCAGGGUUUAAAUAUAGUGCCAAGAGGGGCAGGAUGGAGCGAAGCUGUCCCUAGAGCCUGCGGCCCGGGGAGGGUAACACGCCGCGCAGACGCCGGGAGACCAUGGAGGAUGCGACCAGGACCUUUGGGAAAGGAAGCUGCCCCCCGGGGCCCGUCCCAGAGGGCCUGAUCCGCGUCUACAGUAUGAGGUUCUGCCCCUUUGCGCACAGGACGCGCCUUGUCCUCCGGGCCAAAGGCAUCAGACAUGAAGUAAUCAACAUUAACCUGAGAAACAAGCCUGAAUGGUACUAUACAAAGCACCCUUUUGGCCAAAUUCCUGUCCUGGAGAACAGCAAAUGUCAGUUGAUCUAUGAAUCUGUCAUCGCCUGUGAGUACCUGGAUGAUGCUUAUCCUGGAAGGAAGCUGUAUCCAUAUGACCCUUAUGAGCGGGCUCGCCAGAAGAUGUUAUUGGAGCUAUUCUAUAAGGUCCCACAUUUGACCAAGGAGUGUCUGGUGGCCAUAAGAUGUGGGAGAGAAUGUGCUGAUCUGAAGCUAGCCCUGCGUCAGGAAUUCUGCAACCUUGAAGAGCUUUUACACAUAGGAAGUCGUCUACCCCUUCAGGAGAAAUGGAAAAUAUUCAUUUGUUUUUUUCACCCACGAUCCAUCACUUUAAAGAUUCUUGGCUAUCAGAACACCGUCUUCUUUGGUGGAGACUGUAUAUCCAUGAUCGAUUACCUCUUUUGGCCCUGGUUUGAGCGGCUGGAUGUGUAUGGAAUAGCUGACUGUUUGAACCACACGCCAGCUCUCCGGCUCUGGACAGCAGCCAUGAAGCAGGACCCCACAGUGUGCGCCCUUCUCAUAGAUAGGAGCAUUUUCCUGGGCUUCUUGAAUCUUUAUUUUCAGAACAACCCUGAUGCUUUUGAUUAUGGGCUAACUUGCUGAGUCUCAGUCUCCCCCUUCACAUCCAGAAUUCCCAAGCACGCCGUGACUCUACAUCAGGGAUUGUUUUGGCCUCUACCUUCUGAUGAUUCUCAAGAAAUCUCAAGUGCCCAGUGCCAAUGUCCAAGCACAUUUUGGGAGCCUGUGUGCCUCCUGGCUCCUUGGCCUUUGGCCCAGUUUGACCUCCAGAUCACUGGUGCUCAGGCUGAUGUGGAGGUUCAAGGCCUGCCCAUCAAUGAUGUUCAUCACUACGGAUUGGGCCCCUCCACAACCUCCCUGGAGAGAGGAAAGCUGGAGAAGAGGAAGAGGGAAACACUCCAGGCCCAAAUACUCUCCAUUUGGCAACUGAAAGCUGCUGUCCACAUGGGCAUGCAUGCGUAUCAUUCUUGUUCACACUUUGGCGCUGGCCUGGGAGACACCGAGGGUCUUGUGACUAAAAAAAUCCUGAAGCAGGAAACGAAACACCCGCUGUUCCCCUAGACCGACUACGUCAGAAUUUCACCGGUGCUGUCAGGGUUCAGGAUGGCUCACAGAAUGUUCUAUAGCCAACAUCCUGCCUUGAAAAAAUAAACAACGCCCCAAACCCAGUCACAGGCAAAGGUCACUUGGUUGCAUUUGCGUCAUAUACACUUUCACUUGGUCUCAACAGAUGCCUCUGGUUGCCUGCUGUGUACCAAGCCCUGGGCCAUGUGGGGGCGAAAGAUGACAAAAACACAGGAGCCCCUGGUCAUUCCAUUCAUCUUGGUGGAGGCUGUAGACUUCGUGCUUUGGAGCUGGUUCUCUGGCAGUGGGAACGCUUGUCUUGGCCCCAUAUGGCACCUCGACUGGCUCUGCCCAGCACUGCUCACGACCGAGGGUGACCGGGAGUGCCGGCAGGAACCGGACGCUGGCAGCUUCUAUCACUUACCCCAUAGGAGUGGGACAGGGCUGUCCGAUGCCAUCUUAUCUCCAGGUCUGGGGAUCAGCCUGUCAUCAUUUCAGCUCUGUUCAUGCUGAACCUCUUCUUAGCUUCCCAGCCAUGGCGAAAGACCAGGCAGUAGUGGGAGUGAUGUUGUGACUUGUCGGUGCCCACUGAGCUGUCUGCAGCCCCUGCCUCUGACUCAGCCCAGCCAGCCCUGUUUCUCCCCACGUCUCAGCCCAGCCCGGCCAUCUGCUGCCUCUGGGUGGAUUUUGACUCAUGUCAAUAGCUACCGGUGUGGCUCUGAGCCAGCUGGACAGACGCAAGCCUGCUUUGGUGAGGUGGCCCGAUCUGCCAGAACGGGCGCCACGUGACGGGGGCAGUCUGCUCAGGAUGGGGCGCCCUGUUGCCAUGGCACCUGAGCCAGAACAGAGCAAAGUCUGCAAGUCACAUUUUCCUGGAUCUUUGCUUGGCCCCUGUGGCCUCUCCUAGGACUCGGGGACUGAUCUGACUUUGCAGGUGUAAAAUCCUGUGUGUUGGCAAGUAUUUGGCGUGAGACCAAAAUUGCUGUUGACACAACAGAUAAUGGCAUGUCUCUGGAUGACCAAAACCAAAGAUGUUCUCUUUGGGGCUCUACAUACUAAUUUAGGAAGCUUGCAAAACCAAGAAACACAAGAUGAGAAAAGUGCUUGUGGGGAGAGGUUGCAGGCUGGUGGCCCACAGCCCAGUUUGGGAGGUGAAUGCUUUUCGGCCAGGCAUGCUCUCUGCAGUUUGCUGGGGUCACCUGCACUGCCUUCCACGUCUUCCUUCUCCUAUAUGCCACCCGUCUGCCCCACAGAGGAAUCAGUUAACCUCUGGAUAAAAGUGUAAGGAUUUAGCCUGGAGAAGAGAGGCAGUUAAAUAAUACUCCACAAGGAGCUUUUAAAAUACCAUGUCUUUCAUUGCAGGAGAGGGCAGAAAUAAUAUAUUAGGGCUUUUUAAAAAAUGCAACAAUGAAAAUAGGAAUUCUUCCACCAUCUCGUGUUGCAGAGAUAACCGCUUUUAACAAUUGGUGUAUAUCUUAUAAAAAGCAUGUCGAACUUACAGAUUUAAGCUGAAAGCUGUUCUCUAUGUCCUGCGGUGUGGAAAAAGAGAAAAAUAGUUUGAAAGAGCCUCAUUGUCAUACAUGAGGUUAACAUCCGAAUCCUUGACCAGAGGAGGUCCUGUGAAGCUCCCGUCCCUAGUGGUUCUGAACU
RNA transcript from Prionailurus viverrinus (fishing cat), 3312 nucleotides. It is a transcript of the gene named glutathione S-transferase omega-2, with no coding region annotated. The record is from RefSeq and is a predicted model, not a curated record. Lineage: Eukaryota; Metazoa; Chordata; Mammalia; Carnivora; Felidae. The transcript is spliced from 11 exons.